AUUGAACGCUGGCGGCAGCUCUAACACAUGCAAGUCGAACGAGCGGCGGACGGGUGAGGACUGUUUGGGAAACUGCCUGAUGGAGGGGGUUCACACCUGGAAACGGUAGCUAAUACCGCAUACUAUCGGAUGUGCCCAGAUGGGUUUAGCUAGUAGGUGGGGUAACGGUUCACCUAGGCGGCGAUCCCUAGCUGGUCUGAGAGGAUGACCAGGCACACUCGAACUGAGACACGGUCCAGACACCUACGGGAGGCAGCAGUGGUGAAUAUCGCACAAUGGGCGCAAGCCUGAUGCAGCCAGGCCGCGUGUAUGAAGAAGGCCUUCGGGUUGUAAAGUACUUUCAGCGGGGAGGCGUUACCCGCAGAAGAAGCACCGGCUAACUCCGUGCCAGCAGCCGCGGUAAUUC
This 406-nucleotide ribosomal RNA is filed under the name uncultured bacterium. RNAcentral's name for it is "partial 16S ribosomal RNA". It matches the Rfam family "Bacterial small subunit ribosomal RNA", at positions 30 to 526 of the family's 1533-position model. The record is from RNAcentral.